Molecule: long non-coding RNA, 1837 nt
Organism: Mauremys reevesii (Reeves's turtle)
Lineage: Eukaryota; Metazoa; Chordata; Testudines; Geoemydidae
Exons: 6
Source: RefSeq, a predicted model, not a curated record
UUCCAAAGCUUCUAGAGGUGAAACCUGUCACCUGGGGCAGGUUGGUCUCUCAGUCAGGAGUGAAAACAACUGACAUCCAUCGACCCAGCCUGGCGAAGUAUUCAUAGUCUAGAGACCAUGCAAGUUUGAGCCUUCAUAAAGCACAGAAAAGCCUCAAGAAAAAGAUCUUGAAUAGGGGGGAUCAUCAGGGGUGAGCUGAAGUUAGUGAGAGGCCCUGGUUAUGAAGAGAAACAAAAGGCCUGGAACUGUAUAAAGGGGACAAAGAAGAGCACAACUUGUGCCACACAAGAUAGGAUCCAUUAUGGAGACAACACUCUGCCACCACAAGUGCCAUGAAAACUGGAUCCCAGCUCUCUCCACCGGACAAGCGCUGCACAGACUGACCAUUGGAUCAUGUUGAAUAGCAUUGGAUCUAGAACCACUCACUGUGGAACCCCACUAGAAACACCCACAUUUGAUGAUGAUUCCUCAUUGACAACUACUUUUUGAAAACUACCAGCUGGCAUGCCAGCAAAGUGGGGAUGAAGCAUGGUCUAAUGCAGUGUUUCUCCGUGGACUGGUGCCAGUCCCUGAGAUCUCCAUGGCACAGUUUAGGAAUGCAGCCAGUAUCAAAAAGGUUCAGAAACACUGGCCUAAUGGAUAGGACUGGGAGUCAGGAGACUAUCUAGGUUCUAUUUCGAGAUUUGCCACCGACCUGCUGAGAGACUGGGGCAAGAUGCUGGCCUGCGCUUUCCUAUCUGUUAAUUGGGGAUAAUGACACUUUCUUUCCUCUAUGAAGUGUUUUGAGAUCUACCCAAGAGAAGGGCUUGUAUGGGUCUGAUGCAAAGCUCACUAAAAGUAAUGGGAAUCUUUACAAUGACUUCCGUAGGCUUUGCAUCAGUCUCUGUGACACUGACAGUCAAACGAUGCUGAUUUUUAUUUAGUGUGUUGGCAGAAGCCUCAUGCCUGGUUGUAUGUGUGGAUCCCAUCACACACUUCACAUCAUCUAAGAGGACACAGCGCAAUGGGAUACGUCAGCUAUGAACUGUGCGGUUAGCUGAGAAGUCGAGUUCAAGAUCAUUUAUAAACAGGAAGCUGGAGUUGUUGGGUUUGAUUUUGUCUCUUUAACUCACGCCUAAGACACUGGUGGUUAGCAUUUAUGAUAACCAUUUUUUCCAAAAGGUAAUGAGUGGAAUAAGUGAAGAGGAAAGCUGAAACCAGGAAGGGUCUGGAUCCAAUCUGUUAUUCGCUCCUCGUGGAAAGAUCAACUUUGGUUCAGAACUUUCCAGCUGUUUUAGUUUCUCUGCGCUGGCUGGAGCUGGAAAUGCAGAAGUGACACAAGACAGUUUGCACUCUUGGGAUUUCUGGACCGUCUGGAAGUGGCAAACACUGAACAUCUUGUGAACAAGUAUGUUUGUGUGAGACUUCUAGCCCAACUUCGCACAGCUAAGACCUCCACAUAGUUCGGCCUGCAGUAUCUGUGAAACCACCCUGGAUUUACACAAUAAUGAAUGAGAUCAGAACAUAUUGCUAUACAAGGCACUACUUGCAUGACUAAAGCAUUGAAGGAUUGGGACCCAACUGAGAGCUUAACACAGCUCCUCUGCAAGACAAAAUGGCCCACUCCUUGCUGUCAUCUUCCGAGACUUAAGGAGGCAAUGAGAAGCGAGUCUGUUCCCUGUCACUGGAUAUCUCUUUGCAGCACAGCCAGGAAAGAAGUUUAUUAACUUGGCCUCCGGGUUUCCUUUUUUCUGGUUACUUUGGCAAAGGGGUCUUGAAUUUCUCCUUUGUUCUGCUUAAAAAAUACGUAUAAUUUGGAGAUUAUGUGGAAUGAUUUUAUCGGAAUAAAAUUAACUCA